This is a transfer RNA of Pichia membranifaciens NRRL Y-2026, 73 nucleotides long. It matches the Rfam family "tRNA". From Rfam's summary of the family: Transfer RNA (tRNA) molecules are approximately 80 nucleotides in length. NCBI's taxonomy places the organism in Eukaryota, Fungi, Ascomycota, Pichiomycetes, Pichiales, Pichiaceae. The record is from Rfam.
GCUCUUAUGGCCAAGUUGGUAAGGCGCCACACUAGUAAUGUGGCGAUCCUCAGUUCAAAUCUGAGUGAGAGCA